GAAGAUGUAGCACAAAUGGUUAAAGUUUUGUUUAGCAUGCGAGAGGUCAUGGGUUCGAUCCCCCACGUCUCCA
Non-coding RNA from Zostera marina, 73 nucleotides. The record is from the annotation of a GenBank genome assembly. Lineage: Eukaryota; Viridiplantae; Streptophyta; Magnoliopsida; Alismatales; Zosteraceae.